This 75-nucleotide transfer RNA is filed under the name Streptomyces mutabilis. Lineage: Bacteria; Bacillati; Actinomycetota; Actinomycetes; Kitasatosporales; Streptomycetaceae. The record is from RNAcentral.
CACCCCGGCCAGCAGCAGCGUCAGCGCCGCCGCCACCCCCAGCAGCCACACCCGCCCGUCCAGCUCCGCGAGCCG